UGUACAGUGUCUGGUUAAGGGUUUGGAGAGGGGCCAGCAGACCAUCUACAAACUCCAAGUAGGCCUUGUCCACUGUGCAAGUCUGCUCUUCUUCCAUUGGCCCCUUCUCUGGGCAUUGGAAUCUGUCCCGUUGUAGAAUCCUGAAUCCAGCCCUGGACACAUCCACCACCAGCACCCCCACUGCCGUGCUGCACAUCUCUCACCCUAUGUGGCUACCAAAACCAAAGAAGGAUCUCUGUCCCCACACCUUGUACCUGGAAAACUCUACAGCUGGUGGCUCACAUUUGGCCUUGUCGUCAUGAUCAAACCCUCCAGUUCCCUGAUGCUAAAGCAUUCAGACUUUUUGCUAGUAUUUUUCACAGCUUUCUGCAGGUGGGAUUUUAAUAAAGUCUUCACUGGGAAA
Long non-coding RNA from Dipodomys spectabilis (banner-tailed kangaroo rat), 403 nucleotides. RefSeq lists it as uncharacterized. The record is from RefSeq and is a predicted model, not a curated record. The transcript has 2 exons. NCBI's taxonomy places the organism in Eukaryota, Metazoa, Chordata, Mammalia, Rodentia, Heteromyidae.